Molecule: ribosomal RNA, 484 nt
Filed under: uncultured bacterium
Lineage: Bacteria
Description: partial 16S ribosomal RNA
Rfam family: Bacterial small subunit ribosomal RNA
Source: RNAcentral
AUUGAACGCUGGUGGCAGGCCUAACACAUGCAAGUCGAACGGAUGAAGGGAGCUUGCUCCUGGAUUCAGCGGCGGACGGGUGAGUAAUGCCUAGGAAUCUGCCUGGUAGUGGGGGAUAACGUCCGGAAACGGGCGCUAAUACCGCAUACGUCCUGAGGGAGAAAGUGGGGGAUCUUCGGACCUCACGCUAUCAGAUGAGCCUAGGUCGGAUUAGCUAGUUGGUGGGGUAAAGGCCUACCAAGGCGACGAUCCGUAACUGGUCUGAGAGGAUGAUCAGUCACACUGGAACUGAGACACGGUCCAGACUCCUACGGGAGGCAGCAGUGGGGAAUAUUGGACAAUGGGCGAAAGCCUGAUCCAGCCAUGCCGCGUGUGUGAAGAAGGUCUUCGGAUUGUAAAGCACUUUAAGUUGGGAGGAAGGGCAGUAAGUUAAUACCUUGCUGUUUUGACGUUACCAACAGAAUAAGCACCGGCUAACUUCGUG